GGAGAAUGACCGAACGCGGCCAUGGCAGAGAUGCCGGGCACGACGUCGCCGCGAUCCGCGACGAAGGUGA
Molecule: small RNA, 70 nt
Filed under: Sinorhizobium meliloti 2011
Lineage: Bacteria; Pseudomonadati; Pseudomonadota; Alphaproteobacteria; Hyphomicrobiales; Rhizobiaceae
Description: putative ncRNA
Source: RNAcentral